Mycena albidolilacea is the source of this 92-nucleotide non-coding RNA. The record is from the annotation of a GenBank genome assembly. NCBI's taxonomy places the organism in Eukaryota, Fungi, Basidiomycota, Agaricomycetes, Agaricales, Mycenaceae.
GGCCGCCUGGCGAAAUGGCAUCGCGUCUGACUACGAUCCUGUUGGACCUAUGUAUAAUCAGGAGAUUGCAGGUUCGACCCCUGCGGUGGUCA